UACGAAGGGGGCGAGCGUUGUUCGGAAUCACUGGGCGUAAAGCGCACGCAGGCGGACCGAUAAGUCGGGGGUGAAAGCCCGGGGCUCAACCUCGGAAUUGCCUUCGAUACUGUCCGUCUCGAGUCCGGGAGAGGUGGGUGGAAUUCCUAGUGUAGAGGUGAAAUUCGUAGAUAUUAGGAAGAACACCGGUGGCGAAGGCGGCUCGCUGGGGCGGUACUGACGCUCAGGUGCGAAAGCGUGGGGAGCAAACAGG
RNAcentral lists this ribosomal RNA (253 nucleotides) under uncultured bacterium. Its description in RNAcentral is "partial 16S ribosomal RNA". It matches the Rfam family "Bacterial small subunit ribosomal RNA", at positions 524 to 776 of the family's 1533-position model. The record is from RNAcentral.